This 229-nucleotide unclassified non-coding RNA is filed under the name Hevea brasiliensis (rubber tree). Lineage: Eukaryota; Viridiplantae; Streptophyta; Magnoliopsida; Malpighiales; Euphorbiaceae. The record is from RNAcentral.
GGACACUUUCUGAAUACACAUCCGCUUAUGCACAUUAUAAAAUUCUGGGUUUUCUAAUUUUAUUGACUGCUUGGUUCUUUCCUAUUUCUUUGAUUCUUGUCAUUUUCUUCUUUGAAGAAAUUUCCAAUUUAGAUGUCUUCACAAAAUUCAGCUGGAAAACCAGAGAGCGUUACCAAUGCUAGCUUUCUGGAAUUCAAACUUAGAAUAUUCAUUUCGACCUACACAUCAA